UCCUCGAUGGUCUAACGGUCAUGAUUUCCGCUUGUCACUCUCUCAGAGAACGAGCGCGGGAGACCAGGGUUCGACUCCCUGUCGGGGAG
Molecule: transfer RNA, 89 nt
Organism: Aspergillus clavatus NRRL 1
Lineage: Eukaryota; Fungi; Ascomycota; Eurotiomycetes; Eurotiales; Aspergillaceae
Rfam family: tRNA
About the family: Transfer RNA (tRNA) molecules are approximately 80 nucleotides in length. Their secondary structure includes four short double-helical elements and three loops (D, anti-codon, and T loops). Further hydrogen bonds mediate the characteristic L-shaped molecular structure. tRNAs have two regions of fundamental functional importance: the anti-codon, which is responsible for specific mRNA codon recognition, and the 3' end, to which the tRNAs corresponding amino acid is attached (by aminoacyl-tRNA synthetases). tRNAs cope with the degeneracy of the genetic code in two manners: having more than one tRNA (with a specific anti-codon) for a particular amino acid; and 'wobble' base-pairing, i.e. permitting non-standard base-pairing at the 3rd anti-codon position.
Source: Rfam